This 484-nucleotide ribosomal RNA is filed under the name uncultured bacterium. RNAcentral describes it as "partial 16S ribosomal RNA". It matches the Rfam family "Bacterial small subunit ribosomal RNA", at positions 30 to 507 of the family's 1533-position model. The record is from RNAcentral.
AUUGAACGCUGGCGGCAGGCCUAACACAUGCAAGUCGAGCGGAUGAAGGGAGCUUGCUCCUGGAUUCAGCGGCGGACGGGUGAGUAAUGCCUAGGAAUCUGCCUGGUAGUGGGGGAUAACGUCCGGAAACGGGCGCUAAUACCGCAUACGUCCUGAGGGGGAAAGUGGGGGAUCUUCGGACCUCACGCUAUCAGAUGAGCCUAGGUCGGAUUAGCUAGUUGGUGGGGUAAAGGCCUACCAAGGCGACGAUCCGUAACUGGUCUGAGAGGAUGAUCAGUCACACUGGAACUGAGACACGGUCCAGACUCCUACGGGAGGCAGCAGUGGGGAAUAUUGGACAAUGGGCGAAAGCCUGAUCCAGCCAUGCCGCGUGUGUGAAGAAGGUCUUCGGAUUGUAAAGCACUUUAAGUUGGGAGGAAGGGCAGUAAGUUAAUACCUUGAUGUUUUGACGUUACCAAAAGAAUAAGCACCGGCUAACUUCGUG